GACGAACGCUGGCGGCGUGCCUAAUACAUGCAAGUCGAACGAAGCUGUUUUAACUGGUGCUUGCACCGACUUAAACAACUGAGUGGCGAACGGGUGAGUAACACGUGGGUAACCUGCCCCAAAGAGGGGGAUAACAUUUGGAAACAGAUGCUAAUACCGCAUAACCACAGAAACCACAUGGUUUCUGUGUCACAGAUGGUUUCGGCUAUCACUUUUGGAUGGACCCGCGGCGUAUUAGCUAGUUGGUAAGGUAAUGGCUUACCAAGGCAAUGAUACGUAGCCGAACUGAGAGGUUGAUCGGCCACAUUGGGACUGAGACACGGCCCAAACUCCUACGGGAGGCAGCAGUAGGGAAUCUUCCACAAUGGACGAAAGUCUGAUGAAGCAACGCCGCGUGAGUGAAGAAGGUUUUCGGAUCGUAAAACUCUGUUAUCAGAGAAGAACGUGUGCGAGAGUAACUGCUCGUGCAGCGACGGUAUCUGGCCAGAAGGCCACGGCUAACUACGUGCCAGCAGCCGCGGUAA
Molecule: ribosomal RNA, 524 nt
Filed under: uncultured bacterium
Lineage: Bacteria
Description: partial 16S ribosomal RNA
Rfam family: Bacterial small subunit ribosomal RNA
Source: RNAcentral